RNAcentral lists this long non-coding RNA (1133 nucleotides) under Glycine max (soybean). RNAcentral's name for it is "long non-coding RNA (GMAX_LNC003694)". Lineage: Eukaryota; Viridiplantae; Streptophyta; Magnoliopsida; Fabales; Fabaceae. The record is from RNAcentral.
CCGAACUUGCCAUGCUUUCCAUGCUUGCCGAACUUGCCAUGCUUUCCAUGCUUGAACUUACCGUGCCCGUGCUGCUUGAAUUUUCCAUGUGGCAUGUGAGCACCAUGUGCAUAUUGGCCAUAGGAGCCAUGGGAGCCAUGAGAGACAUGGUGAGCACCAUAAGCAGCAGCAGCCGCAGCAGCACCCCCAGCGAGCAUUGCUCCCAUACCGCCGUGCCCAUGAGAACCUGGUGGCAAAAACAGAGAACUUGGUUAAAAAAACUUCCAAGGACAACAAUUCUCAUAACUAGCAGCACAAAAUUUUCCAAUAGCCAAUGCAUAAAUCAAACUACUAAGAAAUAAGGAUAAACAAGAAGAGAACUUCAACAAGCACAAAAAAGUUUCAACUACAGUAAAAAAAGCCAAAUCAUACAUUACUUGAAAAAAGAAAAGUUACUUAAGAGAGUGUAUUGUGGAUAAUGCAAACAAGAAGACAACAAUGUCUCUAAGGGACACACACAAUUCUAAUUACCACUAUCAAAGUCAAUCUUUCUCAUCGCAUGAAUUUGUUUUUGUAGCCAAACAAUCCCUAUCUUUUGUAUGCAAUUGCAUUAUGGAUUUGUCUCCUUAGUUGGACUAAGCAUAUAUUAAAGUAAGAAAAAAAGAAUGUAUCUACCCUUGAUUAAAAAGUAAGUUAAAUUUAGGAGACACUUCAAAUCAACAGUAAAUAUAUAUCCCUUUUCACUACUGUUUGAUGGUGGAAUAUGUUUAUAUGUACUUUUAAAAGACACUCAUGCUUCAUCAAAGUUAAUUCACAAUGCUUCUAAGUAGGCAGCAUCACAGAUUUUACAACUACAAUGGAAUUCAGAAUUCAAUCAGUCAAGUGAUUGUGAUAUCUAACAUGAGUAACUUAAAAGAUGUAACAAAGAAAAAACAAUUGAAAGAAAAUAUAUAUACCUGGUGCAUGUGAUGAACCAGGAUAACCAGCUGGGGGGUAACCAGCAGGAGGAUAGCCUUGAUGUGGAGGGUACCCAGCUGGAGGAUACCCUUGUUGUGGAGGAUACCCAGCUGGAGGAUAUCCUUGUUGUGGAGGGUAUGCCCCAGGUGGUGGUGGGUAAGCCCCAGGUGGGUACCCAUGUCCACCAUGUGCUGCAC